UACGAGGGGUGCAAACGUUAUUCGGAUUUACUGGGUGUAAAGGGUGUGUAGACGGUUUGUUAAGUUUGUUGUUAAAUUUUUCGGCCUAACUGAAAACGUGCGAUGAAAACUGACAAACUUGAGGGUGAAAGAGAGAAGUGGAAUUCUCGGAGUAGCGGUAAAAUGCGUAGAUCUCGAGAGGAACACCGAUGGCGAAAGCAGCUUCUUGGUUCACUCCUGACGUUGAGACACGAAAGCGUGGGGAGCAAACAGG
RNAcentral lists this unclassified non-coding RNA (253 nucleotides) under uncultured bacterium. RNAcentral's name for it is "contains 16S-23S intergenic spacer region". It matches the Rfam family "Bacterial small subunit ribosomal RNA", at positions 524 to 776 of the family's 1533-position model. The record is from RNAcentral.